GCCUUCGUGGUGUAGCGGUCAGCACGUUCGACACGCAACAGAGGUGUCCGUGGUUCGAUUCCCGGCGAAGGUU
RNAcentral lists this transfer RNA (73 nucleotides) under Stegodyphus mimosarum. It matches the Rfam family "tRNA". Rfam says of the family: Transfer RNA (tRNA) molecules are approximately 80 nucleotides in length. Their secondary structure includes four short double-helical elements and three loops (D, anti-codon, and T loops). The record is from Rfam by way of RNAcentral. Lineage: Eukaryota; Metazoa; Arthropoda; Arachnida; Araneae; Eresidae.